GUACUUACUUUGCAGGGGAGACACCACAAUCAAGAAGGUGGUUCACCCAGGGCGAGGCUCAGCCAUUGCACUUCAGCUGUCCUGACCCCUGUGAAUUCCCCAAAUGUGGGAAUCUCAGCUGCAAAAUUUCUGCUAGUGGGGGGCUGCAUUCAAGCUCUCCUCUG
Molecule: small nuclear RNA, 164 nt
Organism: Misgurnus anguillicaudatus (oriental weatherfish)
Lineage: Eukaryota; Metazoa; Chordata; Actinopteri; Cypriniformes; Cobitidae
Product: U1 spliceosomal RNA
Source: RefSeq, a predicted model, not a curated record